CUGGCACCGGCCCCGGCCGCUCUCCCUGCCUCGCCAGAACAGGAGAACCCUCCCCCGCCGACGCUGGAGACACUCGGCUUUGUAUCUGCAGCAUCAGCGAGAAAGCCCGGCUCGGCGCAGGCUCAGUGUUCACCGCCGCAGUCCCGGACGGAGGAGGGGGGCUUGGGAGCGCAGCGUCUUCGCAGCGGGUUAAGUAGGAUUAAUACCAAAUCCCUAUUAUAUUUGCGAAGCAACUUGAAUUUAUCAAAAUUCCCCCUCGCUGUUCUGGAGCUCCGAGAGGAGGAAAUUUUGCCCACAGUGUAAGAUCCAGACAUACCAGUACGUAGGAAUACCAGCAUACUGCAUUACACUGGCUCCCUGCACUAGCAAUACAAUUGCAACCUGAAGCUCCCGCUGUUGCCUUCCCUUUUGUGCUUUUAAACGCAAACAGGAAACUUAAUGUAUUCGCCAGGGGAGGGGCGGGAUGAAAGCGUUUUUAACCUCCCCGCCAUAAACUUUAAUCAGACUCCGGGCUGUUGCACGGCACGGACACCUCGUCUCUUGUCUGCGUCUCCUUCCCCGUUGUCUCCCAUGUCUACUUCUACUACGGUCUGCUUCGCGAGAUCCUCUUUCAAGCCAAUGAGUGAUCUCUUUCUCUUGCCAUGUGCAAUUGCUCCCCCCUUCUCUUCCUAUCCUCGCUGGCCUCUCUUACACACACUGUGCCUUUCACACGCGGUCUGCGCUCCCCCAGCCCCCCCUCCCUUUUUUUCUUUUUUGCAGUGUCUUCACAUGCAACAUCUCUCUGAAUGUGCAAUGUCUUUCCUGCUCGGGAGUGCUGCGUCCUUCACAGUGGAUUGGUUCCUCUUUCGGAACAGAGAUACUGCAGACACCAGAGAAAGAAAGAGGAGAAAGGUUAUUUCCUUUACUUUCUUAUCCUUAUUCGUACAGCAUAUCUGGAGAUCUUGAAGACUGAACUGUUGAGGAUUCGCAGCUGGAAUCAAAAUGAGAUCUGUUUUGAACAUGUGAAGUACCAGGUAAUAAAAGGCACUCUGAAAUUCAUGUAAUGAGUAUCAGAUUUGAUUAUCCUAAAUUUAUAGAUACUUAUUAAAUUUUAUGUUUCUUUUCCCCACCCGACAACUAUCCCUGACUUUCCAUUGUCUCAUAGAGGUUUUGUGAAAUUGUACUGAAACAUAUCCAUGAAACAUUCCAUAAAUUCAGAAAAGCCAAUACAUAAAUAAAUAAUUCUCUCUUCUGAAAAAAUAAAAUAAAUAAAUAAAAAUGAUUCGUAAAUAAAUCAAAUUGAGAUACA
This 1288-nucleotide long non-coding RNA is filed under the name Strigops habroptila (Kakapo). RNAcentral's name for it is "lncRNA (ENSSHBG00005018072.1)". Lineage: Eukaryota; Metazoa; Chordata; Aves; Psittaciformes; Psittacidae. The record is from RNAcentral.